GUUUCCUCUUAACCACAUCCACACUCUACCUCACCUUUCCACGUUACCCCUCUCUCUUUGUACAUUAAAAAGAAAGGAAAAAAGAAAACAAAAAGAAGGCACAGACUACCUCCUCAAAAGGCCCACCUUCAAUCUCUCUUAAACUCACACUCUCCACUCACCCACACCUCUUCGUCACUUCCCUCGCCGGUAAAAUCUCACCGAUCAUCCUCUUCCUCCGCCACCCUUUCACUCUUCAUUCCACUUCCACAAUCACCGCCUGGCUUCUUUCUUUCCACUGCUCGCUUUCUCACACCAGCGACUCCCUUCGUUCCCCCGUCUUCCGAACCACCGACCAAACUCCAUCCAUUGCCGGUGAAAUCGUCCGCCUCCACGACACACAUACCUCCGUCGCCGCCGACUCGCCGACUGCGCCGGUAUCACUCAUCCCCACCACCACGAACCUCUGGUCGCCGCCGCGAAGCUCCGCUCGCUUUUCCAACGAACUCACCAUAUUGCAGACGUGGUUCGAUAGGGUAAAAAAUGCAAUGAUGAGUUUGUUUUGAUGUGGUACUUUACUCCAUUACAAAAUCGAAUUCUAUGCCAUGGACUCGACAAAUUCAUGUCGACAUGCCGCCUGCCACUCUUUUUUUUUUCUAGGCACAUGAAUUUUAGAUGGUAAGUCUUUUCCUUUUUUUUAUCUAUUAUGUUUUAAUAGUAUUUUUUUUUUCUGUUUUUAUUUCUUUUCUAUUAGUAAGUUAUUUUCCUUUAUUAGUAAUCAUGAUAAUAACUUGUUUUUUAGUAAUGAAUUGUUCGGGUAGUGGUUUCAUCUAACCAUGUUGCAGUUAGUUUUUAUUUCCUAAUCUCACCAUGAUUAAAGGAAAAACUUAUUUAGUUUAUCCUCUUUUGCUUUAUAUUUUUAAAUCCAUUUUUAUAAUUAUAUGAAUAUAGUUUAGGUGUUUGCUUGUUUCUCUUUACAUUAGGCCCAUAUACCAUUUGACACUUCUUAUAUUUCAUACAUGACUUGUAAAAUGAUGUGAAUAAUUAUGAGUUGGUGUUGUUGCUUAAUUUC
This is a long non-coding RNA of Lathyrus oleraceus (garden pea), 1051 nucleotides long. RefSeq lists it as uncharacterized. Lineage: Eukaryota; Viridiplantae; Streptophyta; Magnoliopsida; Fabales; Fabaceae. The transcript is spliced from 2 exons. The record is from RefSeq and is a predicted model, not a curated record.